UAAAUUUUGGAACAUAUAGAACCUUCUGUAAAAAUUUGAGAAAUUUUGGAAAAGGAUAACUAUUUUAUAAAAAUCCUCGAAAAUAGUCCAGUUUUGGGUGAUUAAGCUGAAAUAAAGUAAGUAAUGCUUUGUAUGUCUAUAUGUCGGUUUGAUUAUUGAAAAUGAACUACGGGAUAUACGUAAAAGAAAAUGAUAUGCUAUGAAGCAUGGACACCCCUAUUUACAAAGGAUACUAUGGCAAAAUUAAAUUUUCCAAAAAAAAUCCUAACACUUAGUAAAUAUUUUCGGGACAAGCGUUACUAGUAUAUUCUAGACUAUGUUUUUCAAGCAUAAAACUCGCCAUAAUUUUUAUAACGAAAUACGGAAUAUCGGGGGUUGGUUUUAUACAGGAAUAUGGUUAAAUAUGUAUUCUCUAAAAUGGGACUUAAAAAUAUAAUCCCAAUAUGAACAGACACAUGUAAAAUAUCCCAUCCUUGGGAAGGAAAUACGAAUACACAAGCAU
This 502-nucleotide long non-coding RNA is filed under the name Helianthus annuus (common sunflower). RNAcentral's name for it is "sRNA HanXRQr2_Chr07g0287341". The record is from RNAcentral. Lineage: Eukaryota; Viridiplantae; Streptophyta; Magnoliopsida; Asterales; Asteraceae.